This 253-nucleotide ribosomal RNA is filed under the name uncultured prokaryote. RNAcentral's name for it is "partial 16S ribosomal RNA". It matches the Rfam family "Bacterial small subunit ribosomal RNA", at positions 524 to 776 of the family's 1533-position model. The record is from RNAcentral.
UACGGAGGGUGCAAGCGUUGUUCGGAAUUACUGGGCGUAAAGAGUGUGUAGGCGGCCAUAUAAGUCGGAUGUGAAAGCCCUGGGCUUAACCCAGGAAGUGCAUCCGAUACUGCAUGGCUUGAGUCCCGGAGAGGGUUGUGGAAUUCCCGGUGUAGAGGUGAAAUUCGUAGAUAUCGGGAGGAACACCAGUGGCGAAGGCGACAACCUGGACGAGGACUGACGCUGAGACACGAAAGCGUGGGGAGCAAACAGG